Molecule: long non-coding RNA, 239 nt
Filed under: Physcomitrium patens
Lineage: Eukaryota; Viridiplantae; Streptophyta; Bryopsida; Funariales; Funariaceae
Description: long non-coding RNA (PPAT_LNC003010)
Source: RNAcentral
AAACAUACAAGGUUAAGAUAUUGUCUUAAAGGUGGACAAUUUAUAAGCUUUGUAUUCCAAUAAUAUCUCUUGCUAAGUAGGAUAAUCUAACAAUUAUAAGAUCAAAUUAUGAAAAAAAAUUGUAAAAGAAAAUCCUAACAAAAAUUGAUAAUAUUCAUUAAUGAUUCCAGAUGUAAAAAAAAUAUUUAAAAAUUUUGAAAAAUAGAAGAAAUUUGAUUAGAAAUUAGACCUUAUGUAAG